RNAcentral lists this unclassified non-coding RNA (651 nucleotides) under Hevea brasiliensis (rubber tree). The record is from RNAcentral. Lineage: Eukaryota; Viridiplantae; Streptophyta; Magnoliopsida; Malpighiales; Euphorbiaceae.
UUUUAAACAAACAACAUGUCCCAUUUUGCAUUCAUAAAAGGGUCUGAGAUACAAGCAUGAAGGAAAUAAUUCUCAGCAUGAACAAUAUUAACAUCGCACCCUUCUUUCCAUGAUAAGGCUAAACCCCCUGCUAUCCCUCUAGGACUAACACAAAAAACAUCGUUGAAACCACACUUUCUGAGUUUCUUUUUGACAAAAACAUCAUUAUUUUUGCUCUCCAUCAAGAAGACGAUAUUUGGGGAAUGGGAUUGACAAAACCCUUUGAUAUGAUGGAACAUCAGGGGGUUUCCCCAAACCCUGACAGUUCCAGCUUAUAAGCCUCAUUGGUGACUCUGGGGCCAUUUUGUGCUGGCCUCCCCCACCACUUCAGUAUCUGUGAGGUUGUUGCAAGACUUCUUGUUUGCUUCAAAGCGUUCUUCUUCUCCUCUGCUCCUUUUUUCGUAGGACGCGCGCCAAGGUUCUCUACUGAUCCUCCCUUUUCUGCUUUAACCUCCUUUUGUAUUUCCUGAACGAAAUAAUAAAUUUUGCAUUUGUCAUCACAUGGCGUAUGCCCAAGCCCGGAACCCACAAGCUUCUUGCCGGGUAAACCCUCAUUUAGAUAGAAACAGAUUAGAAAACGAAGCAUAUAAUGGGGACUUCUAUUGUUGUUAG